Molecule: ribosomal RNA, 399 nt
Filed under: uncultured bacterium
Lineage: Bacteria
Description: bacterial SSU rRNA
Rfam family: Bacterial small subunit ribosomal RNA
Source: RNAcentral
GAAUCUUAGACAAUGGGGGCAACCCUGAUCCAGCAAUGCCGCGUGAGUGAUGAAGGCCUUCGGGUUGUAAAGCUCUUUUGGCGGGGACGAUGAUGACGGUACCCGCAGAAUAAGCCCCGGCUAACUUCGUGCCAGCAGCCGCGGUAAUACGAAGGGGGCUAGCGUUGUUCGGAAUUACUGGGCGUAAAGGGCGCGUAGGCGGUUCCAAUCGUCGGAUGUGAAAGGCCUGGGCUCAACCUGGGAACGGCAUUCGAUACGGUGGGACUCGAGUGUGGGAGAGGAUGGUGGAAUUCCCAGUGUAGAGGUGAAAUUCGUAGAUAUUGGGAAGAACACCGGUGGCGAAGGCGGCCAUCUGGACCACAACUGACGCUGAGGCGCGAAAGCGUGGGGAGCAAACAG